This 77-nucleotide transfer RNA is filed under the name Nannocystaceae bacterium. RNAcentral's name for it is "tRNA-Arg". It matches the Rfam family "tRNA". From Rfam's summary of the family: Transfer RNA (tRNA) molecules are approximately 80 nucleotides in length. Their secondary structure includes four short double-helical elements and three loops (D, anti-codon, and T loops). Further hydrogen bonds mediate the characteristic L-shaped molecular structure. tRNAs have two regions of fundamental functional importance: the anti-codon, which is responsible for specific mRNA codon recognition, and the 3' end, to which the tRNAs corresponding amino acid is attached (by aminoacyl-tRNA synthetases). tRNAs cope with the degeneracy of the genetic code in two manners: having more than one tRNA (with a specific anti-codon) for a particular amino acid; and 'wobble' base-pairing, i.e. permitting non-standard base-pairing at the 3rd anti-codon position. Lineage: Bacteria; Pseudomonadati; Myxococcota; Nannocystales; Nannocystaceae. The record is from RNAcentral.
GCACUCGUAGCUCAGCUGGAUAGAGCAUCUGGCUUCGAACCAGAGGGCCGGAGGUUCAAGUCCUUCCGGGUGCACCA